This 225-nucleotide long non-coding RNA is filed under the name Elaeis guineensis (African oil palm). Its description in RNAcentral is "long non-coding RNA (EGUI_LNC016743)". Lineage: Eukaryota; Viridiplantae; Streptophyta; Magnoliopsida; Arecales; Arecaceae. The record is from RNAcentral.
CCUCCGUUGAUUGUGCUCAUGAUUCAUCGCCGAUUCUUCAUUGGAGUGAAGGUAAGAGGGGAGAGGCCCUCAUCUAUCUUUCAUCUUCUUCGGAUCCUUUUGCCUUUGUUAUUGACCAGAUUUCCAUCGACAGAGCAUGCCUACUCCCAGGUAUCGGCGAUAAGAGCAGUCGGGCGGAGAUGCAACUGAAGCACGAUGAGGGCGAAGAGGAAUAGAGAUGCAGUG